Long non-coding RNA from Perca fluviatilis (European perch), 556 nucleotides. RefSeq lists it as uncharacterized. Lineage: Eukaryota; Metazoa; Chordata; Actinopteri; Perciformes; Percidae. The record is from RefSeq and is a predicted model, not a curated record. The transcript is spliced from 3 exons.
UACUUCUGUGAAUAUCAGAAGAAAUUACCCAAUCAAGUCAUCUAUUAUCCUCAAGGAAAUACUGCUGAGCUCUCUGUCAAAGUGAAUUUGGAGAAGCCCAGAAUCUCCCUGACAUCUCCGCAUGAAAUGGUGAUCUACAGCCCUGACAAAAUAUCGGUCACCAAAGGCAGCAGCUUCUCCAUCACAUGCUCCAUUCACUCUACAUAUCCGGGAGGUUUCUUCUAUCUGACAAAGUCUAACAAGAGCACAGUCGCUUCAUUGCCAGCAUAUGGCCACUCUAUCUUCUACAUGACCCACUUUGAAUUCCCUGCUCUCGAUUAUACAAACCAAGGAGAGUAUAACUGUGUCUACGGGCUUAACAUUUCCUCAAUGUCCUUCUGUUCUGUUCCCUCCAAGUCACUUCAAGUAACUGUAAUUGCCACUUCAUCCUCUUCAGUGGUCUCAGGACUAGUGGGUGGGCUGGUGGUGUUGGUACUCGUGCUGGUUAUAGGUUACCUGGUCUGGAGAAGAAGAAGGCGAGGUGCUGGUAAGUGGCACACUUCUUAUUUUACAAAUU